GCCGGGCGCGGUGGCUCACGCCUGUAAUCCCAGCACUUUGGGAGGCCGAGGCUGGUGGAUCACCUGAGGUCAGGAGUUCUAGACCAGCCUGGCCAACAUGGUGAAACCCCGUCUCUA
Macaca mulatta (Rhesus monkey) is the source of this 117-nucleotide unclassified non-coding RNA. It matches the Rfam family "Metazoan signal recognition particle RNA". Rfam says of the family: The signal recognition particle (SRP) is a universally conserved ribonucleoprotein. Lineage: Eukaryota; Metazoa; Chordata; Mammalia; Primates; Cercopithecidae. The record is from Ensembl.